This is a long non-coding RNA of Lolium perenne, 620 nucleotides long. RefSeq lists it as uncharacterized. The record is from RefSeq and is a predicted model, not a curated record. NCBI's taxonomy places the organism in Eukaryota, Viridiplantae, Streptophyta, Magnoliopsida, Poales, Poaceae.
UCGCAUCUCCAUUAUUUUCUUUCACAAGUUAGAGAGAAAAACUUACAGCCUACCUACGGUUCAUUUUCGGAGCUUUCGUCCACACCUCUCCAGAAAACAGGAAAAAAAAUGGAACCUUUGCUGACGGAAGGCUACCGGACUUCCGGUGAGGGAGAAGGGAAGGUGAAGCCGCCGGUGGCGCCGACCGCCUGGACACUGAGCGCUAUCCCGGAAGGGAUAUCCAUUUGCUGCAUGAAAACAGCAAUGGCUCUCGCGGGCGUCUAUUUUGUUUUCCUUUCUUACGUUUCAGUGGCAUAUACACCUAGCUGGGCGGAGAAGCUGCGGUUGUCACCACUUCUCAUUUUGGCGGUAAUCGUCCCGUUGCUUGGAGCAGUCAUGAUCUGAGAGCAGCGAGAUAGCUGUCGGUUAAUUACACAGGCACACAAUUAUGCGUGUUCUGAUGAUUACAGUGUAUUCUCAUUGUACAGGCUCAGAUUGGUAUGUAAAAGCAUGAGAAACACUGUUCUUAUGUUCCUUUUUCUUGUACGUUGGUUGUGAAAAUCUUUUUGUACUCUAGAUCGUGCAAUGUAUGAAUAAGGACAGAAAAUAUGCAAGAUAAAUGGCAUACUUCAAUGAUCCAA